RNAcentral lists this ribosomal RNA (499 nucleotides) under uncultured bacterium. RNAcentral describes it as "bacterial SSU rRNA". It matches the Rfam family "Bacterial small subunit ribosomal RNA", at positions 28 to 524 of the family's 1533-position model. The record is from RNAcentral.
GAUGAACGCUAGCGGCAGGCCUAAUACAUGCAAGUCGAGGGGCGGCGCGGUAGCAAUACUGGCGGCGACCGGCGCACGGGUGCGUAACACGUAUGCAACCUACCUUCAACUGGAGGAUAGCCCGGGGAAACUCGGAUUAAUACUCCAUAACACAGGGAUCCCGCAUGGGAAUAUUGUUAAAGCUACGGCGGUUGAAGAUGGGCAUGCGUUCGAUUAGCUAGUUGGUGUAGGUAACGGCUCACCAAGGCUACGAUCGAUAGGGGGUCUGAGAGGAUGAUCCCCCACACUGGUACUGAGAUACGGACCAGACUCCUACGGGAGGCAGCAGUAGGGAAUAUUGGUCAAUGGGCGCAAGCCUGAACCAGCCAUGCCGCGUGCAGGAAGAAGGCCCUCUGGGUUGUAAACUGCUUUUGAUAGGGAACAAAUGCCACUUGCGAGUGGAGCUGAGUGUACCUAUAGAAUAAGCACCGGCUAACUCCGUGCCAGCAGCCGCGGUAAU